GACGAACGCUGGCGGCGUGCUUAACACAUGCAAGUCGAACGAUGAAGCUGGAGCUUGCUCUGGUGAAUUAGUGGCGAACGGGUGAGUAACACGUGAGUAACCUGCCCUUGACUCUGGGAUAACUGCUAGAAAUGGUAGCUAAUACCGGAUACGACCCUCGGAGGCAUCUUCAGGGGGUGGAAAGAAUUUCGGUCAGGGAUGGACUCGCGGCCUCUCAGCUAGUUGGUGAGGUAACGGGUCACCAAGGCGACGACGGGUAGCCGGCCUGAGAGGGUGACCGGCCACACUGGGACUGGGACACGGCCCAGACUCCUACGGGAGGCAGCAGUGGGGAAUAUUGCACAAUGGGCGCAAGCCUGAUGCAGCAACGCCGCGUGAGGGAUGACGGCCUUCGGGUUGUAAACCUCUUUUAGUAGGGAAGAAGCGAAAGUGACGGUACCUGCAGAAAAAGCACCGGCUAACUACGUGCCAGCCGCCGCAGUAA
This 484-nucleotide ribosomal RNA is filed under the name uncultured bacterium. RNAcentral's name for it is "partial 16S ribosomal RNA". It matches the Rfam family "Bacterial small subunit ribosomal RNA", at positions 28 to 523 of the family's 1533-position model. The record is from RNAcentral.